RNAcentral lists this ribosomal RNA (429 nucleotides) under Verrucomicrobiota bacterium. Its description in RNAcentral is "Verrucomicrobia bacterium partial 16S ribosomal RNA". It matches the Rfam family "Bacterial small subunit ribosomal RNA", at positions 355 to 776 of the family's 1533-position model. Lineage: Bacteria; Pseudomonadati; Verrucomicrobiota. The record is from RNAcentral.
UAGGGAAUCUUCGGCAAUGGGGGGAACCCUGACCGAGCAACGCCGCGUGAGUGAAGAAGGUUUUCGGAUCGUAAAACUCUGUUGUUAGGGAAGAAAAAAUGUAUAGUAACUAUAUACAAAAGAGACGGUACCUAACCAGAAAGCCACGGCUAACUACGUGCCAGCAGCCGCGGUAAUACGUAGGUGGCAAGCGUUGUCCGGAAUUAUUGGGCGUAAAGCGCGCGCAGGUGGUUUAGAAAGUCUGAUGUGAAAGCCCACGGCUCAACCGUGGAGGGUCAUUGGAAACUAAUAAACUUGAGUGCAGGAGAGAAAAGUGGAAUUCCUAGUGUAGCGGUGAAAUGCGUAGAGAUUAGGAGGAACACCGGUGGCGAAAGCGGCUUUUUGGCCUGCAACUGACACUGAGGCGCGAAAGCGUGGGGAGCAAACAGG